RNAcentral lists this long non-coding RNA (402 nucleotides) under Olea europaea subsp. europaea. Lineage: Eukaryota; Viridiplantae; Streptophyta; Magnoliopsida; Lamiales; Oleaceae. The record is from RNAcentral.
UGAAGUAGAUGGCGGUUGAUAAAGGAAUCCUUGAUCAUAAUUUCCAGUAUUCAUACAGCGUCCAACAUGAAACUUGUGAUUGGUAGUUUUGUCCUUUAUCCAAGUUUAGCAACUAAAAAAAAAAGGUUUUCGCGGGCAAAUAUUUACUCUUUCAAUCUCUAUUUCAUUUGUAGGACUCGUUCGUGACUUCUCCCUAUAGAUGAAUUAAUCUCCGGUUCAUUUCGCCAUCCCGACUAGUGAAUCAUUAAGAUUCAUUUUUUCAAUAAAAUCUUUUGCAUGCACAGGUUCUAUCGUUCCCAUCGCUUCGUACUUAAUGAUUAGGUCCGAAUGGGUUAAUGAUAGUUGAUUGGUAUAUUCUGUGAAUUUGAAUAUUGCUCAUAAUAAUGGGUUUUGCUAUAUGAU